This is a non-coding RNA of Doryrhamphus excisus (bluestripe pipefish), 279 nucleotides long. Lineage: Eukaryota; Metazoa; Chordata; Actinopteri; Syngnathiformes; Syngnathidae. The record is from RefSeq and is a predicted model, not a curated record.
UCUUUGCAACCUUGUGACUUUGCCGCUUGCACUCCUCCAUUGCUUGUGGCUCCAAUGAGGUUUGCGAAAAGCAAUUCAAAGAUUGAAGGCGUGACUUCUGCAGACUCGGAAGCGUCACGUGCGAUGUUCUUUGGACACUUCUCCUGCUUUCCACGGCGGCGAUGACCUCGCUCUGUAGGCAUCGCCUUUCUUGAGGCAGGUAGAGGUAAACGAUGAAAGCCGGAUAUUGUUUGACGCAGGUGAAGACCUUCCUGUCAGACACUGUUGGCUGUCACACAU